AUUGAACGCUGGCGGCAUGAUUUACACAUGCAAGUCGAACGGUAACAGGCCGCAAGGUGCUGACGAGUGGCGAACGGGUGAGUAAUGCAUCGGAACGUGCCCAGUCGUGGGGGAUAACUACUCGAAAGAGUAGCUAAUACCGCAUACGAUCUAUGGAUGAAAGCGGGGGACCGUAAGGCCUCGCGCGAUUGGAGCGGCCGAUGUCAGAUUAGGUAGUUGGUGGGGUAAAGGCUCACCAAGCCAACGAUCUGUAGCUGGUCUGAGAGGAGGACCAGCCACACUGGGACUGAGACACGGCCAAGGGUCCUACGGGAGGGAGCAGUGGGGAAUUUUGGACAAUGGGCGCAAGCCUGAUCCAGCAAUGCCGCGUGCAGGAAGAAGGCCUUCGGGUUGUAAACUGCUUUUGUACGGAACGAAACGGCUCUGGUUAAUACCCGGGGCUAAUGACGGUACCGGAAGAAUAAGCACCGGCUAACUACGUG
This 482-nucleotide ribosomal RNA is filed under the name uncultured bacterium. Its description in RNAcentral is "partial 16S ribosomal RNA". It matches the Rfam family "Bacterial small subunit ribosomal RNA", at positions 29 to 507 of the family's 1533-position model. The record is from RNAcentral.